CCCCGCCCCAGGGCCCGGCUCCUCGCUCGUGUUCCGGCCCCGAAAACCCCUUCACGCCGCAGUUGUUUCCCGCCUGGUGCUCCUCUGAGUAGAUUUUACCCAAUCUUUCGCUCGUCAUCUUCAGCGAAUAUUGUGAAAGUAAGCGGAGGGGAGAAAGGAUGAGGAAAACAAAAGCACACACCUCCGGAGCACACACCUCCUGAUAUCUCUGGACCCCGCCCCCCGAAGGAAAGAAACCGGGCAGCGGGGACGGUUGACGCUUCAAACGCCAUCUUUUACGUGGGCGGAAGAAGUCGCUGCUUAAUUUCGUUUUCCUCGUGGGACACCGUAGAAAUGUCUUAUGUGCUGCUUUGGAGCGGGAACUGAGGAUUUGUUGAUUACCUCCAAUUUACCAGGAUUACAGCAAAUUAGAUUUAACUGUGACUGGCAUGGGAACUAUCUGAUGUCGACAUGGAUGAGGAAUAUUGCUAUAUAAACCACAAGACUGGACAAAGACUCAUAAGAGUCUGUGGAUCACAAGACCCACCUGUGAAGCAGAGCCUCUCUGGUUUGAUUGCAUUAUGGAAAAGACACAGUUUUACAAGCUGAAACCAAAUCACGAGGAUAGAGAUAGCUUGCAAAAUUGCAGGGAGGGAAAGUGGUGGGGUAGGGAAGGAGACCCUAGAGAGAAUGGGGACAAACAGACGACCUGAAGUAGAGGAUAAGAUGAGGAGGCUUCCAAACUGUGUCAAGGGCACCAAAAUGGGGGGGAAGCAGGAGGGAAUGCAAAUUGUCAACUAUUCCACAAUUUAAUGAACAGUCUACUAAUAUGUGUACUAUUUCUACUCUGUCACCAACUUAAUUCAAGGCCAAGGUCUCAGAGACAGAAUGCUGGAAUAUAAUUCUAGAACUGUGCCAAUAAACAAUAAAUCAAAGUC
Acinonyx jubatus (cheetah) is the source of this 917-nucleotide long non-coding RNA. RefSeq lists it as uncharacterized. The transcript is spliced from 3 exons. The record is from RefSeq and is a predicted model, not a curated record. NCBI's taxonomy places the organism in Eukaryota, Metazoa, Chordata, Mammalia, Carnivora, Felidae.